ACGGCCGUCACGUGACUCUCCAUAAUGAGGACAAAGCCCUGUCCAGCAAGGAGGACGAUCCAGCCGGGAAACUGCACUCACCCCAUAUCCGCUGCUAACUGGCUUAACGAUGUCACAGAGGAAACUUCUCGAAAGCCCCGGCAACAACAUCCUGACAAGAAAGACUGAUGAACAAACACCUGCCUCCUCAUGACAGCCUCACCUUUUUGCAAACCCCAGAGAACAGAGCUGGGGGACGUGGUACUAAGAGUACUCACGGUGUCUGUCAGAAGCUCGCAUUAACAUGGGAAGUCUAGCUGGGUACUAACUGGCGAGCUGUUUAGAGAGCCAUGACUGGCUGAAUGUGGCUCAAGAACUUUGCAUUCUUGUGAUAUUUGUAUAAUGAAAAAGCGUGAUGUCAAAUAAACACAAAAAACGCUAA
Long non-coding RNA from Paramormyrops kingsleyae, 421 nucleotides. RefSeq lists it as uncharacterized. NCBI's taxonomy places the organism in Eukaryota, Metazoa, Chordata, Actinopteri, Osteoglossiformes, Mormyridae. The record is from RefSeq and is a predicted model, not a curated record.